Non-coding RNA from Kogia breviceps (pygmy sperm whale), 1233 nucleotides. The record is from RefSeq and is a predicted model, not a curated record. NCBI's taxonomy places the organism in Eukaryota, Metazoa, Chordata, Mammalia, Artiodactyla, Physeteridae.
AGGACCCUAACCUGAGCUAGUUCAAUCACUGUCUUUCUCCCAGGAAUCUGGAAGUUGCUGGAACAAGACAUAUAAACCUGAAGGCUGGAGUAGUGGUGGCCAUACUCUGCCACAUGGGCCAGAGAAGUACAGUAAAAUAACAUUCAGAAAGAACAAAGAGUGAAGCAGACACACACGGAGCUGCAGAGCUGAGAGGAGAAAUAACUCCUCCUCAUUUCUUGGUUACAGUCCUUCCUGAGGUGUCAUGGCAUUAUCCCUUUGGAUCGAGACAUUUUUGUGUUCCUAUAAAAGGCUCCCUAUCAGUGCACAUAAUCCGUAAGGAGUGUUGAAACAUCACUGGAAAUGUAAUUAGAUGGAGAAAAUUCUGAUCACCUGAACUUCUCUAAGAGACUAUUACACAUAGUUGGAAGCAAUAGUUUGAUUAGCCAGUUAGGGGGAGACUCUAUUAAAGGGUUUACUUAAUACUGUCCCAUCAAGCUGUUGAUAAGACUUGUAAGAGGAAAAGGGAUGAGGGUGUCCGCUUAACUGCAGGGUUUUUGUUUUCUCCAGUGGGUAUGAACCUCAGGGGGGCGAGAAGUUGAGUUGCUUUGGACAAGAGGGCAGAGACUGAGUACUCUUCAGCCAUCCCCUAUGCAGAGAUCAGCUUUUCUACUGAGAACAGUUGAAGAAAUAGUCCAAGAAUACUCAAAGAAAACGUUUGAUAAGAUGCCAAAUUGUUCUAUAAGACAGGGCCGGUGGGAAGUCAGAAGAAACUAUGUAGCUUCCUAAACAUGAAAGAUGAGAGAGGCACAAGGAGCUAGAGACCAAGGCAGAUGCUGAAACUCAGGAGGCUGGUCAUUGAGGAUGCAGCGAAAGAGUGCAAGGAUUUUAAACAAGAGAACAUUGAAACCUAUUGUCCAAGCUUUAUAUUCAAGGAUGCUGCCAGGAGAUGGAGGGGACUCCUAAGAUGACACUUGUUCUACUGCCUCUCUUCUGGUAUGAUGACUGUGACACAUGUGAAUCGAAGUAAGUGAAUUUUCUGUAGCAAUGCCUCAUACUCAACUCAGCAACUUCCUUACAACUCUUCUUUGAGCCACAAUUUUUCAAAUACCGAAGUAAAGGAUAAAAUACCUGUUCUAAAAUAUUCUUAAGGUGAGAAUAGGCCUCUGUGGGGUGAAUUUCAGUUCCACUCUCAAUAGAUCUAUCAUAUUAAUCACUAAAACUGGACCGAUGUUUUCGAGCCAGGCUUGUCGC